Molecule: ribosomal RNA, 137 nt
Filed under: uncultured eukaryote
Lineage: Eukaryota
Description: partial 18S ribosomal RNA
Rfam family: Eukaryotic small subunit ribosomal RNA
Source: RNAcentral
UGGUGGAGUGAUUUGUCUGCUUAAUUGCGAUAACGAACGAGACCUUAACCUGCUAAAUAGCCAGGCUAGCUUUGGCUGGUCGUCGGCUUCUUAGAGGGACUAUCGCCUCAAGGCGAUGGAAGUUUGAGGCAAUAACA